UCGAAUAUAUUUAAAUUGUAUAGCCGCGCGGCUGUACUAUUUAAAUAUUCGAAUAAAUUUAACGCGUAUAGCCGCGCGGCUUUACUAUUUAAAUAUUCGAAU
RNAcentral lists this microRNA precursor (102 nucleotides) under Prunus dulcis (almond). Its description in RNAcentral is "sRNA ncRNA". Lineage: Eukaryota; Viridiplantae; Streptophyta; Magnoliopsida; Rosales; Rosaceae. The record is from RNAcentral.